RNAcentral lists this unclassified non-coding RNA (451 nucleotides) under Hevea brasiliensis (rubber tree). The record is from RNAcentral. Lineage: Eukaryota; Viridiplantae; Streptophyta; Magnoliopsida; Malpighiales; Euphorbiaceae.
GCUGAGGAAUCUGCUAUGUGCAACAUCCAAGCAUGAUGUGUACCUUACUCAAAAUUACUCUGUAAUGCAUUGGUCAUCAUUACUGAGCAGAGGCAAAGAAGUGCUCAAUGCGGCUAAACCAAUUGUUCCUACCCUGAAACACCCAGGGUUGUUGUCAGAGUCAGUCUCAAGAGUGCAAAUUAGCACCAUGUCUGUGAAAGAAAACUUGUUAGUUGCUGGUGGUUUUCAGGGAGAACUUAUUUGCAAGUACUUGAAUCAACCUGGAGUUGCAUUCUGUACAAAAAUAACAACAGCUGAAAAUGCCAUUACCAAUGCAGUGGACAUAUACCAUAACCAAAGUGGCUCAACGAGGAUUACGACUGCAAACAAUGAUGCUCUAGUUAGAAUUUUUGAUGCUGAAAGUUUUACUUGCCUAAAUCGUUUCUCCUUUGAUUGGUCUGUAAAUAACACC